Molecule: ribosomal RNA, 119 nt
Filed under: Lynx canadensis (Canada lynx)
Lineage: Eukaryota; Metazoa; Chordata; Mammalia; Carnivora; Felidae
Source: RNAcentral
AUCUACGGCCAUACCACCCUGAACGCGCCCUAUCUCAUCCGAUCUUGGAAGCUAAGCAGGGUUGGGCUUGGUUAGUACUUGGAUGGGAGACCACCUGGAAAUACUGGGUGCUGUAGGCU